UACAGAGGGUGCGAGCGUUGUCCGGAAUCACUGGGCGUAAAGGGCUCGUAGGUGGCCAACUAAGUCAGACGUGAAAUCCCCAGGCUUAACCUGGGAACUGCGUCUGAUACUGGAUGGCUUGAAUUCGGGAGAGGGAUGCAGAAUUCCAGGUGUAGCGGUGAAAUGCGUAGAUAUCUGGAGGAAUACCGGUGGCGAAGGCGGCAUCCUGGACCGGCAUUGACGCUGAGGCGCGAAAGCUAGGGGAGCAAACGGG
Molecule: ribosomal RNA, 253 nt
Filed under: uncultured bacterium
Lineage: Bacteria
Description: partial 16S ribosomal RNA
Rfam family: Bacterial small subunit ribosomal RNA
Source: RNAcentral